This 369-nucleotide ribosomal RNA is filed under the name Vibrio parahaemolyticus. Its description in RNAcentral is "bacterial SSU rRNA". It matches the Rfam family "Bacterial small subunit ribosomal RNA", at positions 79 to 451 of the family's 1533-position model. Lineage: Bacteria; Pseudomonadati; Pseudomonadota; Gammaproteobacteria; Vibrionales; Vibrionaceae. The record is from RNAcentral.
ACGAUAACGGCGUCGAGCGGCGGACGGGUGAGUAAUGCCUAGGAAAUUGCCCUGAUGUGGGGGAUAACCAUUGGAAACGAUGGCUAAUACCGCAUGAUGCCUACGGGCCAAAGAGGGGGACCUUCGGGCCUCUCGCGUCAGGAUAUGCCUAGGUGGGAUUAGCUAGUUGGUGAGGUAAGGGCUCACCAAGGCGACGAUCCCUAGCUGGUCUGAGAGGAUGAUCAGCCACACUGGAACUGAGACACGGUCCAGACUCCUACGGGAGGCAGCAGUGGGGAAUAUUGCACAAUGGGCGCAAGCCUGAUGCAGCCAUGCCGCGUGUGUGAAGAAGGCCUUCGGGUUGUAAAGCACUUUCAGUUGUGAGGAAGG